RNAcentral lists this ribosomal RNA (87 nucleotides) under Calycolpus goetheanus. Its description in RNAcentral is "partial 5.8S ribosomal RNA". It matches the Rfam family "5.8S ribosomal RNA", at positions 73 to 154 of the family's 154-position model. From Rfam's summary of the family: 5.8S ribosomal RNA (5.8S rRNA) is a component of the large subunit of the eukaryotic ribosome. It is transcribed by RNA polymerase I as part of the 45S precursor that also contains 18S and 28S rRNA. Lineage: Eukaryota; Viridiplantae; Streptophyta; Magnoliopsida; Myrtales; Myrtaceae. The record is from RNAcentral.
UGCAGAAUCCCGUGAACCAUCGAGUCUUUGAACGCAAGUUGCGCCCGAAGCCGUUUGGCAGAGGGCACGUUUGCCUGGGUGUCACAC